This 468-nucleotide ribosomal RNA is filed under the name uncultured bacterium. Its description in RNAcentral is "partial 16S ribosomal RNA". It matches the Rfam family "Bacterial small subunit ribosomal RNA", at positions 28 to 507 of the family's 1533-position model. The record is from RNAcentral.
GACGAACGCUGGCGGCGUGCUUAACACAUGCAAGUCGAACGGAAAGGCCCUGCUUUUGUGGGGUGCUCGAGUGGCGAACGGGUGAGUAACACGUGAGUAACCUGCCCUUGACUUUGGGAUAACUUCAGGAAACUGGGGCUAAUCCCGGAUAGGAGCUCCUGCUGCAUGGUGGGGGUUGGAACUUUUCGGCGGGUGGGGAUGGGCUCGCGGGUUAUGAGCUUGUUGGGGGGGGGGUGGCUUCCAAAGCCUUUGACGGGUACCCGGCCGGGGGGGGGGACCGGGCACAAUGGGGCUGCGGUAGGGCACAGACUGCUAUGGGGGGCAACAGUGGGGAAUAUUGCACAAUGGGAGGAAGCCUGAUGCAGCAACGCCGCGUGCGGGAGGACGGCCUUCGGGUUGUAAACCGCUUUCGCCUGUGACGAAGCGUGAGUGACGGUAAUGGGUAAAGAAGCACCGGCUAACUACGUG